Balaenoptera musculus (blue whale) is the source of this 2285-nucleotide RNA transcript. It is a transcript of the gene named abhydrolase domain containing 12B, with no coding region annotated. The transcript has 6 exons. The record is from RefSeq and is a predicted model, not a curated record. NCBI's taxonomy places the organism in Eukaryota, Metazoa, Chordata, Mammalia, Artiodactyla, Balaenopteridae.
AGAGUUGCAACAAAUGCUGCAAAAGUUCUAGAAGAGAAAGGAUUUCCAGUUGACGCUAUUAUCCUGGAGGCUCCAUUUACCAACAUAUGGGUUGCAAGUAUCAAUUAUCCCAUGUUAAAGGAGAAGAAAGUCUCUAGAGAAUUCAAGGAAGUUGCUGAAUGGUUUUACACAGCAUCCCAGAUUUACCGGAAACUUCCAGGAUUUUAAAGCAUGGUUAUGGAUGCCCUGAGGAAAGAUGAACUAGUCUUCCCCAGUGAUGAAAAGUAACUUAAUGAUGUAAUUAUUACUAUAUCAAUAGGAUUCUGGUGGGUAAUUAUCAUGUGACUUAUUGAAUGGGGAGAUGACCAGUCUGAAUGAGUAGAUGAGAAUUCUUAGAUGGGCACUAGGAUUUGGGGUAAGGUAUCUACAGUAUCUACAAAUUUUUAGUAUUUGGUAUUAUCCUUAUGUCUAAUUGAAUGACUUUACCAAUUCAGUACUUUCUCUGAAGUUAUAAAGGGAGUUGUAGGUUUAGGGUGUUUCAGGACGCUUUAAAGGUCCUGUAGGGUCUAACCUAGCGUUCCUUGGAGGAAUCUCUGAGUUCUAGGUCUUAUUCCCCAUGUAACCAAAAUCCAUACACCAUCCAGCCGAAUAACCCAACAGCAAGUCCAGUGGCUAGAAUCUGGCAAGUUAGCCUCUCACAGUUGGAGAAUCUAGAGUGCCUACAAAUAGGCAGUCGUUAUCAGUAUUUUUUCUAUUUCAGCACACUUGAGGGAUCUAACAUCCUCAGGAGUAACAGCGAGUCACUGUGGCAGGGGUGGAUGGUAUCAGAAUUUGGAAGGGGACAGGGAAGUACUAUUUAUUAGUCAUUCUUCAUAUCAUAGCCUUUUCGAAUUACCAAAUAGGAAGUUGACCAGGAGGCUAAUCAAACCUAUUGAUCUCACGUCCAUCCUGUACAUUUAUGGGGAAAUGUAAACAAAUUGCUACAAAGGGUCCUCCUUGGUCCUGUGGUAGUUCUUGUUAUUUUUUGGUUUUGAGUUACUUUGUUUUCGUUUAAUUGAAACAUUCCAGAUAUUAUGAAAUAAGACAGAAUAAGGAAAAGGUGAGGUUCUGCUAAUUCUGUACAAAUUCAGUGUUUUUUGUUCCUUAUUUUCAAAAAUCACAUAGGAAUAAAUUAAAUCAAAUAACCUAAGUAAAUUGUAUGAGUAAACAGAAGAAUCUUGCCUGGAGGAAAAAAAAGUCACUAUAUCAAGCUUAUUAUAUAUGAAGUUGUUAUUCCUGGGAGGGAUGGAAAGAGCAUUCCUUUAUUUUGGGCAAACCUCAUGUUUUGCUAAAGCCUUAACUUAGAAGAGGAGAAAUCUCAAUGUAUAUCUCUUGAACUGAAUGCUUUUCUUCCACUUGUUCCUAGUGUUAAAUUCCUGUCUUCUCCCCUUCUUAUCAUACACGGUGAGGAUGACAAAACGGUGCCUUUGGAAUUUGGAAAAAAGCUCUAUGAAAUUGCACACAAUGCAUAUAGAAACAAAGAGAGGGUGAAGGUGGUGAUCUUUCCUCCUGGCGUCCAACACAACGUCCUGUGUAAAAGCGCCACACUGUUAAAAACCGUGAGAGAUUUCCUGAGCCAGCAGUGGGCGUGAGGUCUGAGUACAGCGGAGAGCGAAGACUUGGUCCAAACACCAUUUGUGGUGUAUAUUUCUUAUGUAAAACUGUACUAGGCUGCUUGGGUGAGCUGAAGUUACUGACAUUUCUACAAGUCACUUGCCAUUUUAGUAAGGGAAAGCAUGGAUGCUGGGCAUUAUGGAAUGUUUUCGUUUAGCUUGUCAUAGUCUACUUUGUGGAACAUGCCGAAACUUCACUGUGGAGAAUCAGAAUUUGGUAAAAAUUUGAUCCCAUCUAAAAAUGUACAGUUACCAAACAUUCUGGGGAUACCUGUGGAUAAGGUGGUCUUUGAUUUGCACCUAGACAGCAAGCAGUAUAAGAAAGAUGCUCCAAUGUAGUUAAAUAAUUUGUAUUUGAGUUUAGUUAAUUUAAAUGGCAUUAAAAAGUUCCAAGCUGUUUUCUAGCUUUCUGAAUAGCAUUGGGGAAAGUCCUAGCAUGCUACUCAAUCUGCCAUAAAAUAGUAAGAUUUGGCACUCAUGUAGCCUUUGGAAAUUAACGCUUUAUUUUUAGCCCUAAUAUAGUCAUACACUUUCCCUCCCAAUUCCCAGAGAUACUUAACUAGAUUAUUAUUUAAUAAAACAAAACAAAAUCAAAGAAUGUUGUGAAAAUGUUGAAGUCCAGUAAGAAGCUAUUUUUUCUCAGGACACUUUACA